UUGACCUCAAUCAGUAGG
RNAcentral lists this ribosomal RNA (18 nucleotides) under Hodophilus foetens. RNAcentral describes it as "partial 25S large subunit ribosomal RNA". The record is from RNAcentral. Lineage: Eukaryota; Fungi; Basidiomycota; Agaricomycetes; Agaricales; Clavariaceae.